This is a non-coding RNA of Schistosoma haematobium, 46 nucleotides long. The record is from Rfam. Lineage: Eukaryota; Metazoa; Platyhelminthes; Trematoda; Strigeidida; Schistosomatidae.
AUCUAUCUGAUGAGUCCCAAAACAAGACGAAAUGCGCAUCUUCGAU